RNAcentral lists this ribosomal RNA (253 nucleotides) under uncultured bacterium. Its description in RNAcentral is "partial 16S ribosomal RNA". It matches the Rfam family "Bacterial small subunit ribosomal RNA", at positions 524 to 776 of the family's 1533-position model. The record is from RNAcentral.
UACGUAGGGUGCAAGCGUUGUCCGGAAUUAUUGGGCGUAAAGAGCUCGUAGGCGGUUUGUCGCGUCUGCUGUGAAAACCUAGGGCUUAACCCUGGGCCUGCAGUGGGUACGGGCAGACUAGAGUGCGGUAGGGGAGACUGGAAUUCCUGGUGUAGCGGUGGAAUGCGCAGAUAUCAGGAGGAACACCGAUGGCGAAGGCAGGUCUCUGGGCCGCAACUGACGCUGAGGAGCGAAAGCAUGGGGAGCGAACAGG